AGAGUUUGAUCAUGGCUCAGAACGAACGCUGGCGGCGUGGAUAAGACAUGCAAGUCGGACGGGAUUUUCUUUGGUAGCAAUACCGAAGAAAAUUCAGUGGCGAACGGGUGCGUAACACGUGGGCAAUCUGUCUUAAAGUGGGGGAUAGCUCGGCGAAAGCCGAAUUAAUACCGCAUGUGAUCAGAGGCGACAUCGCUUCGAAAUCAAAGGUGGCGCAAGCUACCGCUUUUUGAGGAGCCCGCGGCCUAUCAGCUUGUUGGUGAGGUAACGGCUCACCAAGGCGUUGACGGGUAGCUGGUCUGAGAGGACGACCAGUCACACUGGGACUGAGACACGGCCCAGACACCUACGGGUGGCAGCAGUCGAGAAUUUUUCUCAAUGGGGGAAACCCUGAAGGAGCGACGCCGCGUGGAGGAUGAAGGUCUUCGGGUUGUAAACUCCUGUCAUUUGGGAACAAGUCGUACGUAUUAACUGUACGUGCGUUGAUAGUACCAGAAGAGGAAGAGACGGCUAACUCUGUGCCAGCAGCCGCGGUAAUACAGAGGUCUCAAGCGUUGUUCGGAUUCAUUGGGCGUAAAGGGUGCGUAGGCGGCGCGGUAAGUCGGGUGUGAAAUCUCGGAGCUUAACUCCGAAACUGCAUUCGAUACUGCCGUGCUUGAGGACUGGAGAGGAGACUGGAAUUUACGGUGUAGCGGUGAAAUGCGUAGAUAUCGUAAGGAAGACCAGUGGCGAAGGCGGGUCUCUGGACAGUUCCUGACGCUGAGGCACGAAGGCCAGGGGAGCAAACGGGAUUAGAUACCCUAGUAGUCC
RNAcentral lists this ribosomal RNA (810 nucleotides) under uncultured bacterium. Its description in RNAcentral is "bacterial SSU rRNA". It matches the Rfam family "Bacterial small subunit ribosomal RNA", at positions 8 to 796 of the family's 1533-position model. The record is from RNAcentral.